This is a long non-coding RNA of Empidonax traillii (willow flycatcher), 171 nucleotides long. RefSeq lists it as uncharacterized. The transcript has 4 exons. NCBI's taxonomy places the organism in Eukaryota, Metazoa, Chordata, Aves, Passeriformes, Tyrannidae. The record is from RefSeq and is a predicted model, not a curated record.
GGGAUCACAGAUCAAGGGGAUCUCAGUGCCAUGAGCUGGAGGACCAUGACUGCAAGAACAAUCAACUCCCAGUUGACCCUGAAAUUGUGUGGGAUCUCCUGCUAGAGCUAGAUCCUUACAAAUGUAUGGAGCCUGAUGGGAUUCAUCCCAGAAUCCUCAAAGAGGUGGUUG